GGUUGUCCGAUUUAUCUGAAAAUUUCAGGGCAGAUAGAUCUUGACCUGAUAAUCAACUUUAUCCCGUGUCAGAUUUGCUCUAAAUGCUUCGGUUUUUGAGUUAUAAGCCAAAAACUGCAUUUGACCCCUAUGUUCUAUUUUUAGCAAUGGCAACCAUGUUUGUUGAUAGAUCAAAACUUCGGAUACAAUUUAUAAACUAGAUACCCUAAGGAACAUUCAGUUAAAGUUUGGAAGUAUUUGGCCUAGUAGUUUCAGAGGAGAAGAUUCUUGAAAUAGUU
RNAcentral lists this long non-coding RNA (278 nucleotides) under Mytilus galloprovincialis (Mediterranean mussel). Lineage: Eukaryota; Metazoa; Mollusca; Bivalvia; Mytilida; Mytilidae. The record is from RNAcentral.